RNAcentral lists this transfer RNA (85 nucleotides) under Felis catus (domestic cat). It matches the Rfam family "tRNA". From Rfam's summary of the family: Transfer RNA (tRNA) molecules are approximately 80 nucleotides in length. Their secondary structure includes four short double-helical elements and three loops (D, anti-codon, and T loops). Further hydrogen bonds mediate the characteristic L-shaped molecular structure. tRNAs have two regions of fundamental functional importance: the anti-codon, which is responsible for specific mRNA codon recognition, and the 3' end, to which the tRNAs corresponding amino acid is attached (by aminoacyl-tRNA synthetases). tRNAs cope with the degeneracy of the genetic code in two manners: having more than one tRNA (with a specific anti-codon) for a particular amino acid; and 'wobble' base-pairing, i.e. permitting non-standard base-pairing at the 3rd anti-codon position. Lineage: Eukaryota; Metazoa; Chordata; Mammalia; Carnivora; Felidae. The record is from Rfam by way of RNAcentral.
GCCUGGGUGGCUCAGUCGGUUGAGCUUCCGACUUCAGCUCAGGUCAUGAUCUCGCGGUCCGUGGGUUCGAGCCCCGCGUCGGGCU